RNAcentral lists this ribosomal RNA (497 nucleotides) under uncultured bacterium. Its description in RNAcentral is "partial 16S ribosomal RNA". It matches the Rfam family "Bacterial small subunit ribosomal RNA", at positions 28 to 507 of the family's 1533-position model. The record is from RNAcentral.
GAUGAACGCUGGCGGCGUGCCUAAUACAUGCAAGUCGAGCGAACAGACGAGGAGCUUGCUCCUCUGACGUUAGCGGCGGACGGGUGAGUAACACGUGGAUAACCUACCUAUAAGACUGGGAUAACUUCGGGAAACCGGAGCUAAUACCGGAUAAUAUAUUGAACCGCAUGGUUCAAUAGUGAAAGACGGUUUUGCUGUCACUUAUAGAUGGAUCCGCGCCGCAUUAGCUAGUUGGUAAGGUAACGGCUUACCAAGGCAACGAUGCGUAGCCGACCUGAGAGGGUGAGCGGCCACACUGGAACUGAGACACGGUCCAGACUCCUACGGGAGGCAGCAGUAGGGAAUCUUCCGCAAUGGGCGAAAGCCUGACGGAGCAACGCCGCGUGAGUGAUGAAGGUCUUCGGAUCGUAAAACUCUGUUAUUAGGGAAGAACAAAUAUGUAAGUAACUAUGCACGUCUUGACGGUACCUAAUCAGAAAGCCACGGCUAACUACGUG